CCUACGAGUGGCAGCAGUGAGGAAUAUUGGUCAAUGGGCGCGAGCCUGAACCAGCCAAGUAGCGUGAAGGAUGACUGCCCUACGGGUUGUAAACUUCUUUUAUAAAGGAAUAAAGUGAGGCCCGUGUGCCUUUUUGUAUGUACUUUAUGACUAAGGAUCGGCUAACUCCGUGCCAGCAGCCCCGGUAAUACGGAGGAUCCGAGCGUUAUCCGGAUUUAUUGGGUUUAAAGGGAGCGUAGAGGGGUUGUUAAGUCAGUUGGGAAAGUUUGCGGCUCAACCGUAAAAUUGCAAUUGAUACUGGCAGUCUUGAGUACAGGUGAGGUAGGCGGAAUUCGUGGUGUAGCGGUGAAAUGCUUAGAUAUCACGAAGAACUCCGAUUGCGAAGGCAGCUUACUAAACUGCCACUGACAUUGAUGCUCGAAAGUGUGGGUAUCAAACAGGAUUAGAUACCCGAGUAGUC
Molecule: ribosomal RNA, 460 nt
Filed under: uncultured bacterium
Lineage: Bacteria
Description: partial 16S ribosomal RNA
Rfam family: Bacterial small subunit ribosomal RNA
Source: RNAcentral